RNAcentral lists this ribosomal RNA (460 nucleotides) under uncultured bacterium. RNAcentral's name for it is "partial 16S ribosomal RNA". It matches the Rfam family "Bacterial small subunit ribosomal RNA", at positions 338 to 795 of the family's 1533-position model. The record is from RNAcentral.
ACUACGGGUGUCAGCAGUGAGGAAUAUUGGUCACUGGGCUUACGCCUGAACCAGCCAAGUCGCGUGAGGGAAGACUGCCCUAUGGGUUGUAAACCUCUUUUGUCAGGGAGCAACGCCGGCUACGUGUAGCCGGACUGAGAGUACCUGAAGAAAAAGCAUCGGCUAACUCCGUGCCAGCAGCCGCGGUAAUACGGAGGAUGCGAGCGUUAUCCGGAUGUAUUGGGUUUAAAGGGUGCGUAGGCGGAAUGCCAAGUCAGCGGUAAAAUGGCGGGGCUCAACCUCGCUCCGCGGUUGAAACUGGCGUUCUUGAGUGGGCGAGAAGUAUGCGGAAUGCGUGGGGUAGCGGUGAAAUGCAUAGAUAUCACGCAGAACUCCGAUUGCGAAGGCAGCAUACCGGCGCCCAACUGACGCUGAAGCACGAAAGCGUGGGUAUCGAACAGGAUUAGAUACCCCAGUAGUC